GACGUAGGUGGCGAACGUUAUCCGGAAUUAUUGGGCGUAAAGGAUGCGUAGAUGGUGUAGUAAGUUAUCGGUGGCAAAUCGAGGCUCAACCUCGUGGAAGUCGGUAAUACUGCUAUGCUAGAGGAUAGGAGAGGUUAACGGAACUCCCUGUGGAGCGGUGAAAUGCGUAGAUAUAGGGAAGAACACCAAUCAGGCGAAGGCAGUUAACUAUUCUAUUCCUGACAUUGAGGCAUGAAAGCGUGGGGAGCAAACAGG
This 255-nucleotide ribosomal RNA is filed under the name uncultured bacterium. RNAcentral's name for it is "partial 16S ribosomal RNA". It matches the Rfam family "Bacterial small subunit ribosomal RNA", at positions 524 to 776 of the family's 1533-position model. The record is from RNAcentral.